AUGGCAUCAUCUUUCUAUUGGGUUUUGGCUAGUGCACUCAAAUUGAGAACACAGCUUCACAGGCAGAACACAACACACAGAUGCAAGGUCUCCUGAUGGCAGAAAACCUUAUAACCAGAGACGGGGUUACUCCGUGUUAGCCAGGAUGGUCUCGAUCUCCUGACCUCGUGAUCCACCUGCCUUGGCCUCCCAAAGUGCUGGGAUUCUGUAAUCCCAGUGAGCCACCGCGCCUGGCCCAUGUUCCAAAGAUCUUAAAGAUGUCCCAGAAAAGUUCUAGAGUACUAUCAGAUCUCACACUUUGCCUUGGAAGCUGUCAUUCCCCUCCAUUGGCCCCACAACUGCAGUAUAAUCUUCAGUGACAGGAGAAAAUCGACCUUGUUUGUACAGAAGUCUCAGCAGGAAUAGGCAGAUGCCUGUUUUUGCUGCCAAGGAUGGAGGAUUGGAAUGGGCCCAUUAUAUAUUUUGAGGCUUUGAAGAAAAGUCUCAGGAUAUGUUUUCCCAUUAAAAUACUGUUAUAAACAA
Homo sapiens (human) is the source of this 522-nucleotide long non-coding RNA. Ensembl annotates it as long intergenic non-protein coding RNA 2024. The record is from Ensembl. NCBI's taxonomy places the organism in Eukaryota, Metazoa, Chordata, Mammalia, Primates, Hominidae.